This is a long non-coding RNA of Folsomia candida, 1748 nucleotides long. RefSeq lists it as uncharacterized. The transcript has 3 exons. The record is from RefSeq and is a predicted model, not a curated record. NCBI's taxonomy places the organism in Eukaryota, Metazoa, Arthropoda, Collembola, Entomobryomorpha, Isotomidae.
UUCCCCUCUUACUGAUUUAGUCACGGCUGACCCUCCAAAAGCUGACAAUUUAAGUUUCGAAUCUGCUUGUUCGAAGGAAAAAGGUGUCAAUAUUGCUUUUCCUCUUGUUCACUGUUAAUAAGAAAAAUUUACGCUAUCGUCCAUUUCCUGGAAACCAGCGAGGUGGAGGUGGUCCCUAAAAUAUGGCUCGAGAAUAAUGAAACAGGACAGCUAAAGUGUUGGUGGCCCCUUAUAAGACAUCCAAGAAGGUUAGCCAUGCAGUUGAGGAACAAUAUCCAGUGCAAAUGGAGACUUGGGUAAUUAACAACGCAAAGAUUCUUGGACGAUAUGGUAAUCUUAUUUUAACUGCAACAAUAUAGCACCAAUAUUCAUGACGUAGAUGCUACAUUGUUAAGUAAUACUCCACCAUAUAGAUAUUUAGUCGUUACAAAUAUAAAUAUGAUUGUUGGGGGAUGAUGAUAUGAUUGUGUAAUCUAGAAAUACAUUUUGAGCCUAGUUUUGUCACUAGGUACACUGUUACAAAACAUUUAAAAGAUAGGAGCAACUUGAGACUAGUUUUGUCACUAGGUACACUGUUACAAAACAUUGAGAAUAGUUUGUCACCAGGGCAUAGUGCCGAGAGAUUAGUUAGAUGAUGAGAGAAGUGUGCUCCGGGAGACUCGACCAGAGGAGAGAGAGAGCAGGUUUGGAGAUUGAAGAAGAAGCAUCAGGCUUAUGAGCAGUCUCAGAAAUAAUUAAAAUUUAGGUGGAUAAGUCUUAACAAGUAGUUCUAAGUAGUAAUUAAGUGGUAGUAUCAUUUAAGGUUAUGGUUAAGAGUUAGUUUUAGUGUUUAUCAAUAUAAUAGUGUAACAUAUAACGUUCAGUUUAAUUAUUAAAAUAUAUUUCGGUUAAAACUUGAAAUCCUCCCAGUUUCUAUAAAGCGGUUUAAAUACUAAAUAGGGGCGUAUCUAACGGGUACGUGAACCAAGUCGGACGCCAAAUCCAAGGAUGGCGUUACAUAACAUUUUCAAAUAGGUUUAUGCCAACUUAUUGAAGGAUAACAUUAAUAUGUUGGGUUUGUAUUUUAGAAACAUACGCCGCUGCCCUCAAGAAUCUACCCCAGGCCGAGGUCACAUCAAAUUUGGAGUCGGAGGACGACUUCAUACAGGGAUGAAAUGUCGUCCGUAUUCCAGCUCCUUCUAGUGAUGAUGAUAGUCCUGCCCAGUGUGAAAAAAUAAUAUCUGGAAAAAGGAACAAGACGAUUCAACACAAUUCGUCACUACCUCCACCCCCCGAGCCAUCGCGUCAAAUUGCUUUUCGAUUAGCAGAAGGUUCCGGGACUCAAUGGAAGGAUACAGCAAAUACGACACACGUAGACCGAUAUGAGUCGCCAGUGUCGACGAUGUCAAAGCCAGUGUCGUCGUCAUUACCACUUCGACUUGAUAAGACACCCAUCACCACUGACCAAACCAACACUGAGAUUCUACCCGAUGAUGUUGCAAGUCAGUUUUGCUGGGAUGGAAUAAGGAAAACAAAUGGUAAACUUCCAUUUAAGGACUUGAAGCUGACGAAUGCCAUCUUUAUUAAAUCCACGACCACUGGAAACUGCUCGGAAGUAACGAAGCACGAUUUCAAGAAGAAAUGUGCAUCUUGGUUGAUACACGCACCAGAUCGCAUUAAAAACGUCAGUGGACAAUAUAACUAAUUGAUUUCUAUAAAUAUAAAAUACAUAACUCAUGUUUACUCAUUUACUCUAUUUUCAGGUUAAG